GGGCGUAAAGCGCGCGCAGGCGGUCUUUUAAGUCUGGUGUCUAAGUGCGGGGCUCAACCCCGUGAUGCACUGGAAACUGGGAGACUUGAGUGCAGAAGAGGAGAGCGGAAUUCCACGUGUAGCGGUGAAAUGCGCAGAUAUCAGGAGGAACACCGGUGGCGAAGGCGGGUCUCUGGGCAACAACUGACGCUGAGGAGCGAAAGCGUGGGGAGCGAACAGGAUUAGAUACCCUGGUAGUCCACGCCGUAAACGUUGGGCGCUAGGUGUGGGGCUCAUUCCACGAGUUCCGUGCCGCAGCUAACGCAUUAAGCGCCCCGCCUGGGGAGUACGGCCGCAAGGCUAAAACUCAAAGGAAUUGACGGGGGCCCGCACAAGCGGCGGAGCAUGUUGCUUAAUUCGAUGCAACGCGAAGAACCUUACCUAGGCUUGACAUGCACGGAAAUCUCGUAGAGAUACGGGGUCCGUAAGGGCCGUGCACAGGUGGUGCAUGGUUGUCGUCAGCUCGUGUCGUGAGAUGUUGGGUUAAGUCCCGCAACGAGCGCAACCCUCGUUCUAUGUUGCCAGCACGUCAUGGUGGGGACUCAUAGGAGACUGCCGGGGUCAACUCGGAGGAAGGUGGGGAUGACGUCAAAUCAUCAUGCCCCUUAUGUCUAGGGCUGCAAACAUGCUACAAUGGCCGGUACAAAGGGCUGCGAUACCGUGAGGUGGAGCGAAUCCCAAAAAGCCGGUCUCAGUUCGGAUUGGGGUCUGCACUCGACCCCAUGAAGUUGGAGUCGCUAGUAAUCGCAGAUCAGCAAUGCUGCGGUGAUACGUUCCCGGCCUUGUACUCAC
This 831-nucleotide ribosomal RNA is filed under the name uncultured bacterium. RNAcentral's name for it is "bacterial SSU rRNA". It matches the Rfam family "Bacterial small subunit ribosomal RNA", at positions 556 to 1390 of the family's 1533-position model. The record is from RNAcentral.